AGGGACAGUUGUCAAAAUUUAUCCUAUGUAUAAUGAAAGAAUUACUAAUGGCAAUUGCCAGAGUGCAAUUAUUGGUAUUUGGAUUGUGCGAGACACAUGCUAGGCCACUGUGCAUGCAGUGCACAUAUGGUCCAGGUGUCUCAAAUGCCCAUGAGAAUUAUUUUCAAUGAUGAUAGGGAAAGGGUAAACAUUACUGUUGUAAUUUUACUCCUGUUAUGAUUACAUCAGCAUUCGUUCCUUCUUGGUCAACUAUUUAAAUAUUCAUACUAUAUCUAUUCUUGAUUGGAAAUUAGUGAAUGAUUUUGCCAUGAUUUGUUGCUCUUUUAAAUGCAGGCACAACCUGUCUGUUCAAACUACAGUAUGUAUGGACUCUGCAAAUUUGGUCCAACUUGCAGAUUUGAUCAUCCUUC
This 410-nucleotide unclassified non-coding RNA is filed under the name Hevea brasiliensis (rubber tree). The record is from RNAcentral. Lineage: Eukaryota; Viridiplantae; Streptophyta; Magnoliopsida; Malpighiales; Euphorbiaceae.